This 1559-nucleotide ribosomal RNA is filed under the name metagenome. Its description in RNAcentral is "bacterial SSU rRNA". It matches the Rfam family "Bacterial small subunit ribosomal RNA". The record is from RNAcentral.
AGGGUUUGAUCCUGGCUCAGAGUGAACGCUGGCGGCGUGGAUUAGGCAUGCAAGUCGAGCGAUCUGUUAUAUUGAAGUAGAGUGAGGCUUCGGCCGAUCUUUAUGGAAAUAUAGCUGAUAGCGGCAAACGGGUGAGUAAUGCGCGGGUAACGCACCUUAUGGAGGGGGACAGCUUCGGGAAAUCGGAGGUAAUACCCCAUAAUCUUUUAAGCCUGAAAUGGCUAUAAAGCAAAGAUGGCCUCUUACUUCGGUAAUGCUAUCACCGUAAGAGCGGCUCGCGUCUUAUCAGGUAGUUGGUAGGGUAACGGCCUACCAAGCCAAUGACGAGUAGCUGGCCUGAGAGGGUGGUCAGCCACAUCGGGACUGAGACACUGCCCGGACUCCUACGGGAGGCUGCAGUCGAGAAUAUUUCCCAAUGGACGAAAGUCUGAGGAUGCGACGCCGCGUGAGGGAUGAAGGUUUUCGGAUUGUAAACCUCUUUUAUUGUGGAGGAAAGUUCUGAUAGUGAAUAAUUAUCGGGAUUUGACUGUACUCAAUGAAUAAGCCACGGCUAACUCCGUGCCAGCAGCCGCGGUAAUACGGAGGUGGCGAGCGUUACUCGGUUUGACUGGGUGUAAAGGGUCCGCAGGCGGCCAAAUAAGUGACAGGUGAAAUCUCUCAGCUCAACUGAGAAACUGCCUUUCAAACUGUUUGGCUCGAGGCCGGAAAGGGAGAGCGGAACUGCCGGAGUAAAGGUGAAAUUUGUGGAUAUCGGCAGGAACGCCCGUGGAGAAGUCGGCUCUCUGGUCCGGCUCUGACGCUCAGGGACGAAAGCUAGGGGAGCGAACAGGAUUAGAUACCCUGGUAGUCCUAGCUGUAAACGAUGGGCACUAGGUGUUCGUUCUUUUAGAAUGAGUGCCGCAGAUAACUCGUUAAGUGCCCCACCUGGGGACUACGGCCGCAAGGCUAAAACUCAAAGGAAUUGACGGGGGCCCGCACAAGCGGUGGAACAUGUGGUUUAAUUCGAUGCUACGCGAGGAACCUUAUCCAGGGCUUGACAUGUUGGAAGUAAUCCUGAUGAAAGUCGGGAUGACUGGUAACCAGUCCAGAACCAUCACAGGUGCUGCAUGGCUGUCGUCAGCUCGUGCCGUGAGGUGUUCCCUUAAGUGGGAGAACGAGCGCAACCCUCGCCCUUUGUUGCCACCCGUUUAGCUUUUAGUUAAACGGAGCACUCUAAGGGGACUGCCCGCGUUAAAGUGGGAGGAAGGUGAGGAUGACGUCAAGUCCGCAUGGCCUUUACGCCCUGGGCUACACACGUGUUACAAUGCCUGUUACAAUGGGGGGCCAACCCGUAAGGGGGAGCAAAUCCAUCAAAAACAGGCUCAGUUCGGAUCGAGGGCUGCAAUUCGCCCUCGUGAAGCUGGAAUCGCUAGUAAUGGCGCAUCAGCAACGGCGCCGUGAAUACGUUCCCGGGCCUUGUACACACCGCCCGUCAAGCGCUGAAAGUGGGGAGCACCCGAAUCCCUAAUUUAUUAAGGCCACGGUGAAUUCCAUGAUUGGCGCUAAGUCGUAACAAGGUA